AGAUGAUGUCGAGUGGCGGACGGGUGAGUAAUGCCUGGGAAUUUGCCUUAGUGUGGGGGAUAACUAUUGGAAACGAUAGCUAAUACCGCAUAAUACCUACGGGUCAAAGGGGGCUUCGGCUCCCGCGCUAAGAGAAGCCCAGGUGAGAUUAGCUAGUUGGUGAGGUAAAGGCUCACCAAGGCGACGAUCUCUAGCUGUUCUGAGAGGAAGAUCAGCCACACUGGAACUGAGACACGGUCCAGACUCCUACGGGAGGCAGCAGUGGGGAAUAUUGCACAAUGGGGGAAACCCUGAUGCAGCCAUGCCGCGUGUGUGAAGAAGGCCUUCGGGUUGUAAAGCACUUUCAGUUGUGAGGAAAGGUUGAUGGUUAAUACCCAUCAGCUGUGACGUUAGCAACAGAAGAAGCACCGGCUAACUCCGUGCCAGCAGCCGCGGUAAUACGGAGGGUGCAAGCGUUAAUCGGAAUUACUGGGCGUAAAGCGCACGCAGGCGGUCUGUUAAGCUAGAUGUGAAAGCCCCGCGCUCAACGUGGGAUGGUCAUUUAGAACUGGCAGACUAGAGUUUUGGAGAGGAGAGUGGAAUUUCUGGUGUAGCGGUGAAAUGCGUAGAUAUCAGAAGGAACAUCAGUGGCGAAGGCGACUCUCUGGUCAAUAACUGACGCUCAUGUGCGAAAGUGUGGGUAGCGAACAGGAUUAGAUACU
Molecule: ribosomal RNA, 701 nt
Filed under: uncultured bacterium
Lineage: Bacteria
Description: bacterial SSU rRNA
Rfam family: Bacterial small subunit ribosomal RNA
Source: RNAcentral